UAUAUUUAUCGAAGAGUAUGGAUUGAAAAAGUUUACAUACAUGAAUAUAAGAUCUACAGAUCAGCAGAAGCAAGAAAAAAAAGGUGAAAUGGAUCUGUUUUAGAAAACAGCUUUUUUCAUAUUUCAACCAACUUAGAGAUGUUCAUCUAUUUACCUUUAUGUAUUGAAGUGGAGAAACAGGCUUAGGGCUCAGAAUGAUAGAAAACCCUUUUAUUAGAGUGUAUAAAAACGAUUUCCUUUUGAAAUUUUCUGAAUUCAAUUUAGUCUCCAAUAUACACACCUAUGGCUGUUACAACAAAAUUUCCCAUAUGUCCACACUACAAUAAGCUAUUUGUGGAGCCAGUCUCCAAGGUAGCUCUCAAUGAUCCCUACCUCUGGUAUUUAGCCUUUGUGUAGUCAUCUCUCAAACUGAAUCAGGGUUGGUCUGUGUGACCAACAGAAUUUGGCAUAAAUGAUGGUAUAUGAUUUCCAAUUCUGGAUUAUAAAAUACAUUGUGGCUUUUGCCUUUUUCACUCUUCACGCAAUCUGAAGGAAGCCAUGGAAUAGCCAAGCAUACCUUGGAGAGACUCAUGUGAUGAAAAACAGACCUCCUGCCAAAAUCCAGGCAAUCUUUAAAGCAGUGCUAUUGAGUCCUACAGACUGCAUGUUACAUAUGAUGGAAACAACGAUUCCCCUUGGAGGAACCUUGUUACAUACAGAUUCUGCAUCCAGUUCUUCAGGAAGGAUCAGCAGGACACUACUGGCACCCACGGCACCGCCAGUAUGUGAGGCAUAAUGCCGUUGCUUCCUACAGGAGCCAUAUGUUUGCUUCUUUUCCACGACACCCCAUGCCAUUGCAUAUUUACCCUCUUUAUCCCAAGACAUCUCUGUGUUAGGGACUGGUGUCCAAAUCAUAACCAUGGUUUCUGGUUUGAGAUA
This is a long non-coding RNA of Myotis daubentonii (Daubenton's bat), 918 nucleotides long. RefSeq lists it as uncharacterized. NCBI's taxonomy places the organism in Eukaryota, Metazoa, Chordata, Mammalia, Chiroptera, Vespertilionidae. The record is from RefSeq and is a predicted model, not a curated record.